This 474-nucleotide ribosomal RNA is filed under the name Triticum aestivum (bread wheat). Its description in RNAcentral is "partial small subunit ribosomal RNA". Lineage: Eukaryota; Viridiplantae; Streptophyta; Magnoliopsida; Poales; Poaceae. The record is from RNAcentral.
AUGAAUCUAGCUGUGGAGAACCAGGGUGCCAGUUUAGUUGUAUAUGAAGAUGUUCUCUACAUAAACAAACCAUGUGAUAGCUGGAACGGGAUUGACAAGCAAACUCUUCGACGAUGCAUCCAUGGAUACAGUCCUGCCCGCAGGGUUGCAUGGGGUAUCGGGCAUGGCGGUAGGCGUUUCCUCGGCUGUCCUCUAGAUGGAGAUGAAUGUGCAUGGACAUGUUGGGUUGAUCCUGAGAAUGCAUCUCCAAUGAAGAACUACCUGGCCAGCCUUCAUCUUGACAUGGAAAAUACAAUAGUCAAACUAGAAGAUGGCAAUGAAGAGAAAAGUAACCGAGAGAAGUAUUUCCUUAUAAAAAAUAAGCUGCUAAAGGAUCGACUGUUGUCCAUUAGUGUUGAGUCAAAGAAGAAAGACUACGUAAUACUGUUGUUGAUUUCAUUUCUUGUCAUAAUCAUUAGUGUUUACUAUCAGUAA